RNAcentral lists this ribosomal RNA (638 nucleotides) under Herbaspirillum huttiense subsp. huttiense. RNAcentral's name for it is "bacterial SSU rRNA". It matches the Rfam family "Bacterial small subunit ribosomal RNA", at positions 61 to 693 of the family's 1533-position model. Lineage: Bacteria; Pseudomonadati; Pseudomonadota; Betaproteobacteria; Burkholderiales; Oxalobacteraceae. The record is from RNAcentral.
GUCGACGGCAGCAUAGGAGCUUGCUCCUGAUGGCGAGUGGCGAACGGGUGAGUAAUAUAUCGGAACGUGCCCUAGAGUGGGGGAUAACUAGUCGAAAGACUAGCUAAUACCGCAUACGAUCUACGGAUGAAAGUGGGGGAUCGCAAGACCUCAUGCUCCUGGAGCGGCCGAUAUCUGAUUAGCUAGUUGGUGGGGUAAAAGCCUACCAAGGCAACGAUCAGUAGCUGGUCUGAGAGGACGACCAGCCACACUGGGACUGAGACACGGCCCAGACUCCUACGGGAGGCAGCAGUGGGGAAUUUUGGACAAUGGGGGCAACCCUGAUCCAGCAAUGCCGCGUGAGUGAAGAAGGCCUUCGGGUUGUAAAGCUCUUUUGUCAGGGAAGAAACGGUAGUAGCGAAUAACUAUUACUAAUGACGGUACCUGAAGAAUAAGCACCGGCUAACUACGUGCCAGCAGCCGCGGUAAUACGUAGGGUGCAAGCGUUAAUCGGAAUUACUGGGCGUAAAGCGUGCGCAGGCGGUUGUGUAAGUCAGAUGUGAAAUCCCCGGGCUCAACCUGGGAAUUGCAUUUGAGACUGCACGGCUAGAGUGUGUCAGAGGGGGGUAGAAUUCCACGUGUAGCAGUGAAAUGCGUAG